RNAcentral lists this ribosomal RNA (478 nucleotides) under uncultured bacterium. Its description in RNAcentral is "partial 16S ribosomal RNA". It matches the Rfam family "Bacterial small subunit ribosomal RNA", at positions 28 to 507 of the family's 1533-position model. The record is from RNAcentral.
GAUGAACGCUGGCGGCGUGCUUAACACAUGCAAGUCGAACGAGAAGUGAAGACGGAAACCUUCGGGCGGAAGUCUUUAUUUCGAGUGGCGGACGGGUGAGUAACGCGUGGGUAACCUGCCUCAUACAGGGGGAUAACAGUUGGAAACGACUGUUAAUACCGCAUAAGACCACAGCACCGCAGGGUGCGGGGGUAAAAACUCCGGUGGUAUGAGAUGGACCCGCGUUCGAUUAGCCAGUUGGCGGGGUAACGGCCCACCAAAGCGACGAGCGAUAGCCGAUCUGAGAGGAUGACCGGCCACAUUGGGACUGAGACACGGCCCAAACUCCUACGGGAGGCAGCAGUGGGGAAUAUUGCACAAUGGGGGAAACCCUGAUGCAGCGACGCCGCGUGAGUGAAGAAGUAUUUCGGUAUGUAAAGCUCUACCAGCAGGGAAGAAAAUGACGGUACCUGAGUAAGAAGCCCCGGCUAACUACGUG